This 373-nucleotide unclassified non-coding RNA is filed under the name uncultured bacterium. Its description in RNAcentral is "contains 16S-23S intergenic spacer region". The record is from RNAcentral.
UCUCGGCUUAUCACCGGCAGUCCCCCUAGAGUGCCCAACUGAAUGAUGGCAACUAGGGGCGGGGGUUGCGCUCGUUGCGGGACUUAACCCAACAUCUCACGACACGAGCUGACGACAGCCAUGCACCACCUGUGAAGGUGCCCCGAAGGGAAGACCUGUUUCCAGGCUGGUCAUCCACAUGUCAAGCCCAGGUGAGGUUCUUCGCGUUGCGUCGAAUUAAACCACAUGCUCCACCGCUUGUGCGGGCCCCCGUCAAUUCCUUUGAGUUUCACCCUUGCGGGCGUACUCCCCAGGUGGAUUACUUAACGCUUUCGCUAAGACGCCGACAGUUUAUCGCCGACAUCGAGUAAUCAUCGUUUACAGCGUGGACUAC